UAAGUAAGGGCCGGUUAGGCAGUUGAUUGUUACUCAGAAAGAGCGUGUAAGACGCUUACUUAG
Molecule: transfer RNA, 63 nt
Filed under: Parborlasia corrugatus (corrugated ribbon worm)
Lineage: Eukaryota; Metazoa; Nemertea; Pilidiophora; Heteronemertea; Lineidae
Description: tRNA-Asn
Source: RNAcentral